RNAcentral lists this ribosomal RNA (253 nucleotides) under uncultured bacterium. Its description in RNAcentral is "partial 16S ribosomal RNA". It matches the Rfam family "Bacterial small subunit ribosomal RNA", at positions 524 to 776 of the family's 1533-position model. The record is from RNAcentral.
UACGUAGGGGGCAAGCGUUGUCCGGAUUUAUUGGGCGUAAAGAGCGUGUAGGCGGCUAGGUAGGUCCGUUGUGAAAACUCGAGGCUCAACCUCGAGACGCCGAUGGAAACCAUCUAGCUAGAGUCCGGAAGAGGAGAGUGGAAUUCCUGGUGUAGCGGUGAAAUGCGCAGAUAUCAGGAGGAACACCUGUGGCGAAGGCGGCUUUCUGGGCCUUACCUGACGCUGAGACGCGAAAGCGUGGGGAGCGAACCGG